RNAcentral lists this transfer RNA (72 nucleotides) under Camelus bactrianus (Bactrian camel). It matches the Rfam family "tRNA". From Rfam's summary of the family: Transfer RNA (tRNA) molecules are approximately 80 nucleotides in length. The record is from Rfam by way of RNAcentral. Lineage: Eukaryota; Metazoa; Chordata; Mammalia; Artiodactyla; Camelidae. RNAcentral also lists the same sequence under 2 other names.
GAGGAUAUAGCUCAGUGGUAGAGUGCAUGCCUAGCAUGCACAAGGUCCCAGGUUCAAUCCCUGGUACCUCCA